Molecule: long non-coding RNA, 796 nt
Filed under: Manihot esculenta (cassava)
Lineage: Eukaryota; Viridiplantae; Streptophyta; Magnoliopsida; Malpighiales; Euphorbiaceae
Description: long non-coding RNA (MESC_LNC005693)
Source: RNAcentral
GAUAGACAGGCAACAAUAGUCAACUUCUUGAAAAAAUUCUCACCAUCAACUGCUUCUUGUGUUCAAAUUCUUGGGGAGACAAGCGUACAAGAUCUCCUUAAACGACCCAACAAUUCAAAUCCUUCCACUUCAUCUUCCUUGGUGCUACCUCAAAACCCUAAUAACAAACAAAGCAAAUCUGAAGCACCAAUGUCAACUAUGAUAGAUUUUGGCCAUCAAAACUUAAGCUCACUGCCAGAAAACCUAGCACCUCAAAACCCUAGUUCAACCCUCGUGCGCAGUUCAUCCACAUCCUCAUCACAAUGUCCCCAAACCAAGACCCCAAGUUAUCCCAAUUCCCAAAGCAAUCGACUGCAAACAGUAACUGUGCAAAGAAAGCCUGCAUCUAAUGGUAAGGCCGAAGACCUGGGAAAGAGAUGGCCAAAAGACGAGGUAUUAGCUUUGAUAAACCUAAGAAGCAGCUUCUAUGGCAGCAAUGAAGAUAAGGAAGCAACAGUUAAGGCUCCUCUAUGGGAGAGAAUCUCACAAGGGAUGUUGGAGUUGGGUUAUAAAAGGAGUGCAAAGAGGUGCAAAGAAAAAUGGGAGAACAUAAACAAGUACUUCAGAAAAACUAAGGAUGUUAACAAGAAAAGAUCUGUGGAUUCUAGGACAUGUCCUUACUUUCAUCAAUUAAGCACCUUGUAUAACCAAGGAACGCUCGGAGUACCCCACUCUGAGUUGCCGGAAAAACUGCCGUUGGCUGCUUCUUCGCUGGAAAAGCCGCCCUACCUGGAGCAGGCUAAUUAUUAGUUUCAAC